RNAcentral lists this unclassified non-coding RNA (253 nucleotides) under plant metagenome. Its description in RNAcentral is "partial contains small subunit ribosomal RNA, internal transcribed spacer 1, and 5.8S ribosomal RNA". The stretch from base 205 to 253 matches the Rfam family "5.8S ribosomal RNA", at positions 1 to 49 of the family's 154-position model. The record is from RNAcentral.
UUUCCGUAGGUGAACCUGCGGAAGGAUCAUUAUUGGAUUUUGAAACUUCAGGCUGCUGCUGGCUCUCCUCGGAGGGCAUGUGCACGCUUGUUGUCCAUUAUUUCUCCCACUGUGCACAAAUCGUAGACCUUUCAGUAGGCCUAUGUUGUUUUUCACAAUCUCUGAAUGUAAUAGAAUGGUUUUGAAUCUUGGGAAAUACAAUACAACUUUCAGCAACGGAUCUCUUGGCUCUCGCACCGAUGAAGAACGCAGC